Oryzias latipes (Japanese medaka) is the source of this 1632-nucleotide non-coding RNA. NCBI's taxonomy places the organism in Eukaryota, Metazoa, Chordata, Actinopteri, Beloniformes, Adrianichthyidae. The record is from RefSeq and is a predicted model, not a curated record.
AUUAUUAAAGAGAUAAAACAAAACAAAGGUAUCAGAGCCAGAACGGUUCCUCUGACCAAUAGAAUGAUUGAGGAACAGCUGUUUAUUUCUCCAUAGAAGUCUAUGGGAUUUUGGCUUUUGGAGCCACUUCCUGUUUGGAACACUGGGGGGGAGGGGCCACUCAGUCCAAUUCUUAUGUACAGUCAAUGGUAAAAACUAAGUUCUGCAAACUCUGUUUUCGUUGAGGAUUUUACAGAACUGUGCAGAAAAAAGACGUUCCAGAUAAAACUGUUUGUCUGCUUGCAGACCUGAAUGUGGAUCAAUGAGGUGAAAAUGAUCUGUACCGGAGCAGACGGGGCUGCCAGCUCUCAUCACGGUGAUAUAGUAAAUAUGCUCCCUUGACUUUAACAGCAGGACUCGCCAAAGGUCAGGACGACAGCUAAGACGGCGCUCAUCCACAAGCACAGAUAAUGCCAUGUGUGCCUCACAAAUCUACGGGUUUAUCCGAAGACGGCCCACAAACAGCGACACGGCGCCGGAUCUAUUAUUUCAGCAGAUAAGUCACUGAAUUUGGUGACGACAUUCAUCAUAUUAACUGCUAACCUCACUCCAACUUCCACCCACUCCUACCCAGGUUCUGACCUUACUAGCAACCCAUUACUCAUUUUAAAGGUUAUGACGGCUUGUUUUGCGUCCCCAUAAGCAGGAAAAGUGCCAGUAAUGUCACUUUGUGAGCGCAUUUAAAUUCCCACAACACCUGGACCGCACACCAAGCUGUCAGUUGGCUUCUGUGCCGGAGUUUCAUCCGUCUCUUUGCUGGAGGGCUUCAGGAAACCUGCAGUGCUUCUGCUCACCGUGUCUAAAUUGAAUAAAGCACUGACCUUGUGCUAAGGCAUUGUGGGAAAUAAGGACAUCACUGCUGCAAGAUGAAAGCCUCCUACCCUCAAAGUAAAAAAUUAUUUUUUCCAUUACAAAUAAGUGCUUUGUUUGUGUGCACACAGCUGACAUUUGGACUGAGUCGGGUCAAAUCUUUGGCUCAGUAAACACGAGCCAUCCGGUUUUCUUUUAAUUAGUUUCUCAGGCUGUUUCGCUUCAGUCCAGCCUGAGAUUUCACGUGUUUCUGGGCUUUUAGCUGGUAGGAGAGGGAGCAAAGACUCCUCUGUUUCUCUUUAAAAGAGAAGGAAUCUGGUUGGACUCAAAUCAAUGAAUAAAACAUUUUUUUGCACUCGAACAGUUCAAAAUGGCAGAGAGUGAUCUUCAGGCUUUGUAAUCAAUUGCUUUGCUUUCUCUACUUUCCUAAAAGACGACAGGAUUUCCCUUCUGUCACACUCACAGUGUACGUAUGGAGAACUGGAAGAAGGAAUCAGGGAGGCCGAAAUCCUUCCAGCCGAGGCUGCAACAAGUCCAGACCAGUCAGAUGCAAAAGGAGCAGCAAACUGAGCUAAAGUGACACUUUACAUUGAAACUCGGACUGGAUUUCAAUCACACAGACGGAGUCUGGAAGCACGAAAACCUCGUCUGACUCUGUAUUUCUGACCGUCUGUGGUUCAAAUGUUCAUUUUCUUUUCACCUCUGGUCACAAUGUAGUUUCCUGUUGAAAAGCUCUGUGGCUUUUCUAACUGAUGGAAAAUAAACGGUAAAUGUUUGGUUUUA